AAACUGAGUCUAUGCGCCUUAUUCUGACUGGAGCCACCUGACAAUUAGUUAAACACACUUUUUAACAUUGUGCUCAGGCACAUCACAGCAAUCCACAACCAAAUCAGACCUUCAUCGCCAGGUUGAUAGACUGUUGUCUUUCCAUGUAGAGCCAUGUGUUGGGACGAAAGAUACUCUUUUCAUCUCGCGGGGAAAACAACAAACAAAACCUUUGGCUCCCACAGACAUACAAUGUGGGUCUAUUGUUCUUCCUUGCUAGACGCUUCAGUGCCAUUGAAAACACGACUAUGGGUCAGCAGUUAUUGUGUCCACUGCCCAGCGUUGGUACGCAUUCUCACCCUGUGUACGCCAACCUCUGCCCAGUCCUCACCAACUUGAACCAGGUUCCUUUCACACCGCCUUUGCCUGCUUAGAAACGUCUCGAAAGGUGUUGUAUACGUCAAACAUUUUUUCGAACGCCUGGUGACCUUUGACCUGCGCAGCUGCUUUGAGAUUCUACGGGAUUGCGCUCUGAAGAUGUCUUUAAAGAGGCGACUGCUGUCCAUGUUCUUGUGUUGCGUUUAUUGCGUUGCCUCGCUGUUCUGCCUAAACCCCAACCGCAACAACUGUGUUUCCGUAGGAGCCCGGAACCUGUUGACAGUGGUCCAGCAACUGUACCAGCGUGUUAUGAGAUUGUUGCGCACUACCCUGUGAUACUAAGCCUCCUGCCCCCUAACCAGCACCCAAUCUGGGACUCUAUCCUGGCCUAGCUUGGCCAGGCUAGCUUGCCCUGGUUCUCCAGAGAUGAGAUACAAGUCCUUAUCUGUCCUAACCAGAAAAAGAGAACAGUGUUCUUUAGUCAUGGAUUGUGGACAAUUCUUGAUCAUCUAAACAUGGUUGUGAGGAAGCUUUCGUGGGCCUGUUAUGCUGGAUGAGGACGAGGUGGCAUGACUGCAAACACCCUCGUUUCAACUGUAUUUCGGCUUUCGUUUGUGAACCUCUUCGUACGCUGGCUGACUGCUCUAUUUCAGCGAGGAAGAUGUUGUUGCCAUGGGGACAACGGCCCGUUACCGGUCUUUUGCUUAGCUAAGCGCCAGCUUACUUGGUAUUGCACAGGAGUGUACUUUUUGUGUGGAGGAGAUUUCAAUGCAAGCACAUUAUUUUUGCUGAAUUAAAAGGUGAUCUCAACUAAAGUAACAUUGAA
Osmerus eperlanus (European smelt) is the source of this 1183-nucleotide long non-coding RNA. RefSeq lists it as uncharacterized. The record is from RefSeq and is a predicted model, not a curated record. The transcript is spliced from 3 exons. NCBI's taxonomy places the organism in Eukaryota, Metazoa, Chordata, Actinopteri, Osmeriformes, Osmeridae.